AACGAACGCUGGCGGCGUGCUUAACACAUGCAAGUCGAACGCGAAAGGGGCUUCGGCCCUGAGUAAAGUGGCGCACGGGUGAGUAACGCGUGGAUAAUCUGCCCUGUGAUCUGGGAUAACACUUCGAAAGGGGUGCUAAUACCGGAUAAGACCACGGAGUCUUAGGACUCUGCGGUAAAAGGUGGGGACCUUCGGGCCUACCGUCAUCGGAUGAGUCCGCGUACCAUUAGCUAGUUGGUAGGGUAAGAGCCUACCAAGGCGACGAUGGUUAGCUGGUCUGAGAGGAUGAUCAGCCACACUGGAACUGAGACACGGUCCAGACUCCUACGGGAGGCAGCAGUGGGGAAUUUUGCGCAAUGGGGGAAACCCUGACGCACGCAACGCCGCGUGAGUGAUGAAGGCCUUCGGGUCGUAAAGCUCUGUCAGAGGGAAGAAGUGUGCGGUGCUAAUAUCAUCUGCGCUUGACGGUACCCUCAACGGAAGCACCGGCUAACUCCGUGCC
RNAcentral lists this ribosomal RNA (502 nucleotides) under uncultured bacterium. RNAcentral describes it as "bacterial SSU rRNA". It matches the Rfam family "Bacterial small subunit ribosomal RNA", at positions 29 to 509 of the family's 1533-position model. The record is from RNAcentral.